Papaver somniferum (opium poppy) is the source of this 470-nucleotide long non-coding RNA. RefSeq lists it as uncharacterized. The transcript has 3 exons. The record is from RefSeq and is a predicted model, not a curated record. Lineage: Eukaryota; Viridiplantae; Streptophyta; Magnoliopsida; Ranunculales; Papaveraceae.
UAGCAAAUACAUUGCGGGAUGAAGUCUCCUGCACACAGCACAUAGCAAGUCUUUUUGGUAACAAGGAUAAGUAGUAUUGCAAACUUCAAUGCCGGAGAAAUUCCUGCAUCCUAAAACUUAUCCUUCCGCAUCUCAGGAUACAGGUUGCCGUUUAUAAGGAAACUGAGAUACACACCAUUAAAGCCCGGAACAUUGACGUAGAGCAUCAUGACUAGCAUGAAAACAACAAGAAGUCCAAACAAAGAUCCCGAGAUGGAUGGAAGGGGUCCCCAUGGUCACAUUCCAUACAGUAUACUCAGUGUAAUACUAACCAGUAUCAACCAAGCAUUGAGAUUGACACAGGUUGGAGCCAUCAAAUGCAAAAGAACUCAACUUUUCAUAGCACGACUGUGCUAAUUCAGGACGCUUAUUAACAAUACAUACAAUUCCAAAGAGAUCACGACCAGAAACUAAGUGAAGCACAUCUGGGG